RNAcentral lists this ribosomal RNA (305 nucleotides) under uncultured bacterium. RNAcentral describes it as "bacterial SSU rRNA". It matches the Rfam family "Bacterial small subunit ribosomal RNA", at positions 333 to 655 of the family's 1533-position model. The record is from RNAcentral.
UUUGGCCUACGGGACGCAGCAGUGGGGAAUAUUGCACAAUGGGGGAAACCCUGAUGCAGUGACGCCGCGUGAGUGAAGAAGUAUUUCGGUAUGUAAAGCUCUAUCAGCAGGGAAGAAAAUGACGGUACCUGACUAAGAAGCCCCGGCUAACUACGUGCCAGCAGCCGCGGUAAUACGUAGGGGGCAAGCGUUAUCUGGAUUUACUGGGUGUAAAGGGAGCGUAGACGGUGAUGCAAGGCAGAAGUGAAAGCCCGCGGCUCAACUGCGGGACUGCUUUUGAAACUGUAUAACUAGAGGGCAGGAGG